AGAAAAGAAGGAAGGAAGACAAGAGGGAGGAACUCAAGUCUUAUCCCCUAUAUCAGCAUUUACAGUUGAUUUUUCAAAAGGUCAAGUUUGAUAACGCCCGGUGUCGGCUGGGAGUUUAUUAACCCUAUCUUUCGAAGGGUGUUAGAAAGACACAAGCAGUACAGACUUCACAGCAACCUACUAUGCCAAAAGGAGGCUGUCAAAGUACCCACAACAGUGCAAUUAAGACAGUCACGAAAGAAGCCUUCCAGCACUGCUUCAGAAAGUGACAAGAACAAUAUAUAACACACACAUACAUGUGCUCUGUGGCCUUAGAUAGGUUAUUUAUUUGCUCUGUGUCUUAACUUUAUAUGUCUAUAGAGUCCUGGGAGGAUUUAUCUACAUGUUUAAGUUUAAUAGAUAUUAAUAUAUGAUUACUACUUCAAGUGAUAUAUAGAUCACUUGACACUAUACCUGGCAUAGAGCAUAACUCAGAUUAUGCCAGCUAUUACCUUAAAUUCUCUGUGUUACAGAAAACCUCUUUUAAAAUGCCUUUUUCUGUGUACAAAAUAGUUAGCCAUCCUCUUCCAUAUAAUUUGUUGAUCUUAUAUUUGAAAAUCAUAAUUAUUGAGCCCUCUCCCAGUUCACCUCUCUUCAUAAUGAAUA
Molecule: long non-coding RNA, 645 nt
Organism: Chinchilla lanigera (long-tailed chinchilla)
Lineage: Eukaryota; Metazoa; Chordata; Mammalia; Rodentia; Chinchillidae
Exons: 3
Source: RefSeq, a predicted model, not a curated record